GCCUUGAAAAAAUUUGCCCGGUGACCCCCAUUUUUCUUUUUGAAAUUCUUUAACAUGUAUAAUGAUAAGCCAUCUGUAAAAGUCUUAUAAAAUUUUAAUUACUUUUUAACAGUUUUUGAGAACUUUAACUUGUCAAUGAUAAAGCUAUGAAAAGUCAAGCGAGAAUAUUUUCCCGCCAAAAUUUCAAUGGCUCAUAUCUCGAAAACAAGCACGGUGACCUAUAUAUUUUUU
This 231-nucleotide long non-coding RNA is filed under the name Mytilus galloprovincialis (Mediterranean mussel). The record is from RNAcentral. Lineage: Eukaryota; Metazoa; Mollusca; Bivalvia; Mytilida; Mytilidae.